Molecule: transfer RNA, 26 nt
Filed under: Cyrtodactylus sadansinensis
Lineage: Eukaryota; Metazoa; Chordata; Lepidosauria; Squamata; Gekkonidae
Description: partial tRNA-Asx
Source: RNAcentral
CUAGACCGACGGGCCUCGAUCCCGUA